GCUUUCCUGUGGUUCAGUCAGUAGAGCAUUGUGCUAACAACACAAAGACCAUGGGUCCAAACCCCAGGUAAAGCC
Non-coding RNA from Danionella cerebrum, 75 nucleotides. NCBI's taxonomy places the organism in Eukaryota, Metazoa, Chordata, Actinopteri, Cypriniformes, Danionidae. The record is from the annotation of a GenBank genome assembly.